This 468-nucleotide ribosomal RNA is filed under the name uncultured bacterium. Its description in RNAcentral is "partial 16S ribosomal RNA". It matches the Rfam family "Bacterial small subunit ribosomal RNA", at positions 28 to 507 of the family's 1533-position model. The record is from RNAcentral.
GACGAACGCUGGCGGCGUGCUUAACACAUGCAAGUCGAACGGAAAGGCCCUGCUUUUGUGGGGUGCUCGAGUGGCGAACGGGUGAGUAACACGUGAGUAACCUGCCCUUGACUUUGGGAUAACUUCAGGAAACUGGGGCUAAUACCGGAUAGGAGCUCCUGCUGCAUGGUGGGGGUUGGAAAGUUUCGGCGGUUGGGGAUGGACUCGCGGCUUAUCAGCUUGUUGGUGGGGUAGUGGCUUACCAAGGCUUUGACGGGUAGCCGGCCUGAGAGGGUGACCGGCCACAUUGGGACUGAGAUACGGCCCAGACUCCUACGUGAGGCAGCAGUGGGGAAUAUUGCACAAUGGGCGGAAGCCUGAUGCAGCAACGCCGCGUGCGGGAUGACGGCCUUCGGGUUGUAAACCGCUUUCGCCUGUGACGAAGCGUGAGUGACGGCAAUGGGUAAAGAAGCACCGGCUAACUACGUG